This 428-nucleotide ribosomal RNA is filed under the name uncultured bacterium. Its description in RNAcentral is "partial 16S ribosomal RNA". It matches the Rfam family "Bacterial small subunit ribosomal RNA", at positions 521 to 953 of the family's 1533-position model. The record is from RNAcentral.
GUAUACGUAGUGACCAGNNUNUCCGNAUUAUUNGGGGUAAAGGGAGCCCAGGCGGUNGAAUANUNUGAUGUGAAAGCCCNCGGNUAACCGUGGANGUCAUUGNAAACUGUCCAACNUGAAUACAGAAGAGGUAAGUGGNAUUCCAAGUGUAGCGGUGAAAUGCGUAGAUAUUUGGAGGAACACCAGUGGCGAAGGCGACUUACUGGUCUGUAAUUGACGCUGAGGCUCGAAAGCGUGGGUAGCAAACAGGAUUAGAUACCCUGGUAGUCCACGCCGUAAACGAUGAGUGCUAAGUGUUAGGGGGUUUCCGCCCCUUAGUGCUGGAGUUAACGCAUUAAGCACUCCGCCUGGGGAGUACGGCCGCAAGGCUGAAACUCAAAGGAAUUGACGGGGACCCGCACAAGCGGUGGAGCAUGUGGUUUAAUUCG